CGAAGGUGGCAAGCGUUGUUCGGAUUUACUGGGCGUACAGGGAGCGUAGGCGGUUGGAUAAGCCCUCCGUGAAAUCUCCAGGCUUAACCUGGAAAGUGCAGAGGGGACUGUUCAGCUAGAGGAUGGGAGAGGAGCGCGGAAUUCCCGGUGUAGCGGUGAAAUGCGUAGAGAUCGGGAGGAAGGCCGGUGGCGAAGGCGGCGCUCUGGAACAUUUCUGACGCUGAGGCUCGAAAGCGUGGGGAGCAAACAGGAUUAGAUACCCUGGUAGUCCACGCCUUAAACGAUGGAUACUAAGUGUCGGCGGGUUACCGCCGGUGCCGCAGCUAACGCAGUAAGUAUCCCGCCUGGGAAGUACGGCCGCAAGGUCG
Molecule: ribosomal RNA, 368 nt
Filed under: uncultured organism
Description: bacterial SSU rRNA
Rfam family: Bacterial small subunit ribosomal RNA
Source: RNAcentral